GACGAACGCUGGCGGCAUGCCUAACACAUGCAAGUCGAACGAGACGUCCGUGCUUAGUGGCGCACGGCGGCUUACCGCCUGGUAAGUUGCCCUUGGGUUCGCUACAACUGCCCGAAAGGUAAGUUAAUACCAGUUAAUCUCAUACGACCUAAGAUUUAUUGCCUUGGGAUGGGCCCGGGUUGGUUUAGCUAGUUGGUAGGGUAAAAGCAUGUCAAGGCGAGGAUCCUGAGCUGGUCGGAGAGGAGGAACGUGCACGAUGGGACUGAGACACGGACCAGACUCCUACGGGAGGCAGCAGAGGGGUAUAUUGGACAAGGGGCGAUAGCCUGAUACAGCAAUGCCGCGGAAGUGAUGAAGGCCUUAGGGUUGUAAAGCUCUUUUACACGAGAUGAUAGUGACAGUACCGGGAGAAUAAGCACCGGCUAACUCCGUG
This 433-nucleotide ribosomal RNA is filed under the name uncultured bacterium. RNAcentral describes it as "partial 16S ribosomal RNA". It matches the Rfam family "Bacterial small subunit ribosomal RNA", at positions 28 to 507 of the family's 1533-position model. The record is from RNAcentral.